RNAcentral lists this long non-coding RNA (424 nucleotides) under Rattus norvegicus (Norway rat). RNAcentral's name for it is "long non-coding RNA NONRATT033704". Lineage: Eukaryota; Metazoa; Chordata; Mammalia; Rodentia; Muridae. The record is from RNAcentral.
GCAAAGACUUUAAAAUUGACAGGGAUCCACAGUGUGCUGCUCUAGGAAGCUCACGGCAGCCUCGGAUCACCUGGUCAUUAAGAGGUUAAAUCCCGUGUGCCAGAGGUAGACGUUUCAUCGACCAAAUUAUAUGUGUGUUUUUCUGAUCCACAGGUCUACAGAGCAGGCAAAGGAACAGGUGCUGCUUACGGAAAACACGACUUCUUCAGUAUCAUCCCUGCUCUCUCCCAGCCAAGGGCACCGGGCGAUGUGCCCUUGGUUCCAUACAGACUCCGGUGUCCUGUGUAGAAAGCCUAAUCCAGAGUUACAGAGACGCCUGGGAGGUUAAGAGCCCUUGUUGCUCUUGCAGAAGAUCUGUGGUCCAGUCUCAGCGCCUAUAUCAGCAUUUCUCAACCUGUGAGUCGAGACCCUCUGGGCAGUCACC